RNAcentral lists this ribosomal RNA (1501 nucleotides) under Dothideomycetes sp. genotype 390. Its description in RNAcentral is "eukaryotic LSU rRNA". The stretch from base 928 to 1501 matches the Rfam family "Eukaryotic large subunit ribosomal RNA", at positions 1 to 599 of the family's 3401-position model. The record is from RNAcentral. Lineage: Eukaryota; Fungi; Ascomycota; Dothideomycetes.
AUCGAUCCUUUCGAGCAUCAUCUACCGAAGCCUUAGGGGGCCCAAAAGGCCAUGCCGCGCGACAGUAAACAAUGCGUGCAGUCCCUAGUCACCGGGGCCACUCCCGGCGGCGACACCUUCGAAUUGCGGGGAAACCCUAAAGCCCGCCGGUACCAAGCUGCAGCUGAAAAGCGGCGGCGGCCCGUGUUAAUCGCACGGGGUAUGGUAAGAAUCCGGCGGGAUGAGGCCAGCGGCAGCCGCCGGCCGAAGUGGGCGAUCCGCAGCGAAGCCCCUAAACCAGGCCCCGAGGCUCUCCCAGCCCCGGGCGCCCGGCAUGGGGAACGUCCACAGACUAAGUGGAGGUGGGUGAGCGGCUCCGGCCGCCCGCUUAAGAUAUAGUCGGGCCCCUCUGGAGACACUGGGGAUAGCAGCUGUUCCGUAGGUGAACCUGCGGAAGGAUCAUUGUAAAGUACCGCGGCUUGUCCGCGGGUCGGGGGGCCCCUUCGGGAGGCCCUGUCUGAACCCUAUGUCAUUGUCGCACCUCGCGUUUCCUCGGCGGGCUCGCCCGCCAACGAGGACCCCAUACCAAACCCAUUGCAGUAUUGCAGUACACGUCUCACAAACAAUCAAUCAAAACUUUCAACAACGGAUCUCUUGGUUCUGGCAUCGAUGAAGAACGCAGCGAAAUGCGAUAAGUAGUGUGAAUUGCAGAAUUCAGUGAAUCAUCGAAUCUUUGAACGCACAUUGCGCCCUUUGGUAUUCCUUAGGGCAUGCCUGUUCGAGCGUCAUCUAAACCCUCAAGCACCGCUUGAUGUUGGGCGCCUGUCCCGCCGCGCGCGCGGACUCGCCUCGAAGAGAUUGGCGGCCUGUGUGUUGGCCACGAGCGCAGCAGACCACGCGGCUCGUGCCCUCCCGCGCAGGCGCUCCAGGAAGCGACCCCCCCAAUUUUGACCUCGGAUCAGGUAGGGAUACCCGCUGAACUUAAGCAUAUCAAUAAGCGGAGGAAAAGAAACCAACAGGGAUUGCCUCAGUAACGGCGAGUGAAGCGGCAACAGCUCAAAUUUGAAAUCUGGCUCCCUUGGGCGCCCGAGUUGUAAUUUGCAGAGGGUGCUUUGGCGUCGGCAGCGGCCUAAGUUCCUUGGAACAGGGCGUCACAGAGGGUGAGAACCCCGUACGUGGCCGCCGGCCUUCGCCGUGUAAAGCCCCUUCGACGAGUCGAGUUGUUUGGGAAUGCAGCUCUAAAUGGGAGGUAAAUUCCUUCUAAAGCUAAAUACUGGCCAGAGACCGAUAGCGCACAAGUAGAGUGAUCGAAAGAUGAAAAGCACUUUGGAAAGAGAGUCAAAAAGCACGUGAAAUUGUUGAAAGGGAAGCGCUUGCAGCCAGACUUGCCCGCGGUCGUUCUUCUUCCGCGGGCAGGCCAGCAUCAGUCUGGGCGGUCGGAUAAAGGCCUCGGGAACGUAGCUCUCUCCGGGGAGUGUUAUAGCCCGGGGCGUCAUGCGGCCAGCCCGGACUGAGGUCCGCG